CCCUUAGAUGUUCUGGGCUGCACGCGCGCUACACUGAUUCAUUCAACGAGUUUUUACUUUCCUUCUCCGAAAGGAGUGGGUAAUCUUUUGAAAUUGAAUCGUGCUGGGGAUAGAUGAUUGCAAUUAUUCAUCUUGAACAAGGAAUACCUAGUAAGCGUAACUCAUCAGGUUGCGUUGAUUACGUCCCUGCCCUUUGUACACACCGCCCGUCGCUCCUACCGAUUGAAUGUUCCGGUGAAAUGUUCGGAUGCAGGUUUGUUUGUGGGGCAACUCACUUUGAAUCAGCAGAAGAUCCUUAAACCUUAACAUUUAGAGGAAGGAGAAGUCGUAACA
RNAcentral lists this ribosomal RNA (333 nucleotides) under uncultured eukaryote. Its description in RNAcentral is "partial 18S ribosomal RNA". It matches the Rfam family "Eukaryotic small subunit ribosomal RNA", at positions 1470 to 1796 of the family's 1831-position model. The record is from RNAcentral.